UGGUAGUGUAUUGGACAACCAUGGUUUCAACGGGUAACGGGGAAUAAGGGUUCGAUUCCGGAGAGGGAGCCUGAGAAACGGCUACCACAUCCAAGGAAGGCAGCAGGCGCGCAAAUUACCCAAUCCCGACACGGGGAGGUAGUGACAAUAAAUAACAAUAUAGGGCUCUUUUGGGUCUUAUAAUUGGAAUGAGUACAAUUUAAAUCCCUUAACGAGGAACAAUUGGAGGGCAAGUCUGGUGCCAGCAGCCGCGGUAAUUCCAGCUCCAAUAGCGUAUAUUAAAGUUGUUGCAGUUAAAAAGCUCGUAGUUGAACUUCAGACCUGGCCGGGCGGUCUGCCUCACGGUAUGUACUGUUUGGCCGGGUCUUACCUUUUGGUGAGCCGGCAUGCCCUUCACUGGGUGUGUCGGGGAACCAGGACCUUUACCUUGAGAAAAUUAGAGUGUUCAAAGCAGGCCUAUGCCCGAAUACAUUAGCAUGGAAUAAUAAAAUAGGACGUGCGGUUCUAUUUUGUUGGUUUCUAGAGUCGCCGUAAUGAUUAAUAGGGAUAGUUGGGGGCAUUAGUAUUCAGUUGUCAGAGAGA
RNAcentral lists this ribosomal RNA (582 nucleotides) under uncultured fungus. RNAcentral's name for it is "SSU rRNA". It matches the Rfam family "Eukaryotic small subunit ribosomal RNA", at positions 326 to 914 of the family's 1831-position model. The record is from RNAcentral. Lineage: Eukaryota; Fungi.